AAUACCAGCCAAUCGAAAUCAUCCACGUUAGAAACGCGCAUGCAUAAAAUGUCUAUUCAAAGUACGCUCAUCAUUUAAACUACUCGUGAAUUCUGUAAGACAUACAUCGUUGUUAGUUAGCCUUGUAAUUUACUGAGCUGAUUAAAAUGAAGAUCGAAUUUCUUCUUCUUCUGUUGUGUAUGGCAAAUAUCUUUGUUGUUUCAGACAGUUGCUUGAAUUGCAUCCAUGAUGAACCCUGUUCCGAAAAUUCACAGUGUUGCCCAUCAUAUACUUGCCGGGAAGUUUCUCUCGGAAAAAAAAGAUGUGUUGCAAAAAGUGCAAGGAUAAAAAGUAAAAACACAGAAUGAAUAAAAUAAACUUCCAGAAAAAAUAAACAUCUAGCAUUGACAA
Long non-coding RNA from Physella acuta, 390 nucleotides. RefSeq lists it as uncharacterized. The record is from RefSeq and is a predicted model, not a curated record. NCBI's taxonomy places the organism in Eukaryota, Metazoa, Mollusca, Gastropoda, Physidae.